UGGGAACGUGCCCUUCAGUUCGGAACAACCCAGGGAAACUUGGGCUAAUACCGGAUACGUCCGUAAGGGGAAAGAUUUAUCGCUGAAGGAUCGGCCCGCGUCUGAUUAGCUAGUUGGUGGGGUAAUGGCCCACCAAGGCUACGAUCAGUAGCUGGUCUGAGAGGACGAUCAGCCACACUGGGACUGAGACACGGCCCAGACUCCUACGGGAGCAG
RNAcentral lists this ribosomal RNA (215 nucleotides) under uncultured bacterium. RNAcentral's name for it is "partial 16S ribosomal RNA". It matches the Rfam family "Bacterial small subunit ribosomal RNA", at positions 118 to 347 of the family's 1533-position model. The record is from RNAcentral.